CAGCCGCGGUAAUUCCAGCUCCAAUAGCGUAUAUUAAAGUUGUUGCAGUUAAAAAGCUCGUAGUUGAAUUUCGGGGUUAGUAGGUUGGUCAUGCCUCUGGUAUGUACUGGUCUCACUGAUUCCUCCUUCCUUAUGAACCGUAAUGCCAUUAAUUUGGUGUUGCGGGGAAUUUGGACCGUUACUUUAGAAAAAAUUAGAGUUAGUUUAAAGCAAGCUAACGCUUGAAUACAUUAGCAUGGAAUAAUGAAAUAGGACGUCGAUCUUAUUUUGUUGGUUUCUAGGAUUGACGUAAUGAUUAAUAGGGAUAGUUGGGGGCAUUAGUAUUCAAUUGUCAGAGGUGAAAUUCUUGGAUUUAUUGAAGACUAACUACUGCGAAAGCAUUUGCCAAGGAUGUUUUCAUUAAUCAAGAACGAAAGUUAGGGAUCGAAGACGAUCAGAUACCGUCGUAGUCUUAACCAUAAACUAUGCCGACUAGGGAUCGGAUGAUGUUAAUUUUAUAAUGACUCAUUUGGCACCUUACGGGAAAC
Molecule: ribosomal RNA, 527 nt
Filed under: uncultured Glomeromycotina
Lineage: Eukaryota; Fungi; Glomeromycota
Description: SSU rRNA
Rfam family: Eukaryotic small subunit ribosomal RNA
Source: RNAcentral